UCCUGGCUUAGGACGAACGCUGGCGGCGUGCCUAAUACAUGCAAGUCGAACGGCUUUUCUAUGGAAGCUUGCUUCCACUGAGAAGAUAGUGGCGAACGGGUGAGUAACACGUGGGUAACCUGCCCAUAAGAGGGGGGAUAACAUCCGGAAACGGGUGCUAAUACCGCAUAGUUUUCUUGAUCGCAUGAUCGGGAAAGGAAAGACGGCCUUUGUGCUGUCGCUUAUGGAUGGACCCGCGGCGUAUUAGUUAGUUGGUGAGGUAACGGCUCACCAAGACGAUGAUACGUAGCCGACCUGAGAGGGUGAUCGGCCACAUUGGGACUGAGACACGGCCCAAACUCCUACGGGAGGCAGCAGUAGGGAAUCUUCCGCAAUGGACGAAAGUCUGACGGAGCAACGCCGCGUGAGUGAAAGAAGGUUUUCGGAUCGUAAAACUCUGUUGUCAGAGAAGAACAAGUUGGAGAGUAACUGCUCCAGCCUUGACGGUAUCUGACCAGAAAGCCACGGCUAACUACGUGCCAGCCGCCGC
RNAcentral lists this ribosomal RNA (529 nucleotides) under uncultured bacterium. RNAcentral describes it as "bacterial SSU rRNA". It matches the Rfam family "Bacterial small subunit ribosomal RNA", at positions 17 to 518 of the family's 1533-position model. The record is from RNAcentral.